UACGUAGGGUGCAAGCGUUGUCCGGAAUUAUUGGGCGUAAAGAGCUCGUAGGCGGUCUGUCGCGUCGGCUGUGAAAACCCGGGGCUCAACCCCGGGCCUGCAGUCGAUACGGGCAGACUAGAGUGCGGUAGGGGAGACUGGAAUUCCUGGUGUAGCGGUGAAAUGCGCAGAUAUCAGGAGGAAUACCGGUGGCGAAGGCGGGUCUCUGGGCCGUAACUGACGCUGAGGAGCGAAAGCGUGGGGAGCGAACAGG
RNAcentral lists this ribosomal RNA (253 nucleotides) under uncultured bacterium. RNAcentral's name for it is "partial 16S ribosomal RNA". It matches the Rfam family "Bacterial small subunit ribosomal RNA", at positions 524 to 776 of the family's 1533-position model. The record is from RNAcentral.